AUUCCUACGGGAGGCAGCAGUGGGGAAUAUUGCACAAUGGGCGAAAGCCUGAUGCAGCGACGCCGCGUGAGGGAUGAAGGCCUUCGGGUUGUAAACCUCUUUCAGCAGGGAAGAAGCGGUCGGGUUUUCUCGGUCGUGACGGUACCUGCAGAAGAAGCACCGGCUAACUACGUGCCAGCAGCCGCGGUAAUACGUAGGGUGCAAGCGUUGUCCGGAAUUAUUGGGCGUAAAGAGCUUGUAGGCGGUUUGUCGCGUCUGCUGUGAAAUUUCGGGGCUCAACCCCGAACUUGCAGUGGGUACUGGCAGACUAGAGUGUGGUAGGGGAGACUGGAAUUCCUGGUGUAGCGGUGAAAUGCGCAGAUAUCAGGAGGAACACCGAUGGCGAAGGCAGGUCUCUGGGCCACUACUGACGCUGAGAAGCGAAAGCAUGGGGAGCGAACAGGAUUAGAUACCCUGGUAGUCCAUGCCGUAAACGUUGGGAACUAGGUGUGGGUCUCAUUCCACGAGAUCCGUGCCGCAGCUAACGCAUUAAGUUCCCCGCCUGGGGAGUACGGCCGCAAGGCUAAAACUCAAAGGAAUUGACGGGGGCCCGCACAAGCGGCGGAGCAUGCGGAUUAAUUCGAUGCAACGCGAAGAACCUUACCAAGGCUUGACAUGUGCCGGAAAAGUGCAGAGAUGUGCUCCCCGCGAGGUCGGUACACAGGUGAUGCAUGGUUGUCGUCAGCUCGUGUCGUGAGAUGUUGGGUUAAGUCCCGCAACGAGCGCAACCCUCGUUCUAUGUUGCCAGCACGUGAUGGUGGGGACUCAUAGGAGACUGCCGGGGUCAACUCGGAGGAAGGUGGGGAUGACGUCAAAUCAUCAUGCCCCUUAUGUCUUGGGCUUCACGCAUGCUACAAUGGUCAGUACAAAGGGCUGCGAUACCGCAAGGUGGAGCGAAUCCCAAAAAACUGGUCUCAGUUCGGAUUGGGGUCUGCAACUCGACCCCAUGAAGUCGGAGUCGCUAGUAAUCGCAGAUCAGCAACGCUGCGGUGAAUACGUUCCCGGGCCUUGUACACACCGCC
RNAcentral lists this ribosomal RNA (1061 nucleotides) under uncultured Ornithinicoccus sp. Its description in RNAcentral is "bacterial SSU rRNA". It matches the Rfam family "Bacterial small subunit ribosomal RNA", at positions 335 to 1394 of the family's 1533-position model. The record is from RNAcentral. Lineage: Bacteria; Bacillati; Actinomycetota; Actinomycetes; Micrococcales; Intrasporangiaceae.